AUAAGGAGGCUGUAUGGCGUAUUGCCAUGCCUCUUGUGAUGUGUGUGUAGGGAGGCUGCAUGUGGUAUUAAAUGUGUGGGAAUGCUGUUUGUGAAAUUAUGUGCAUACAGUGAGGUUCCUUGUGGGUUUGUGUGUGUGGAUGGAGCUGUUUGCAAUGUCGUAUGUGAGUGGAGAGUGCUGGUUGUGUUGCAGAGUGUGUGUGGAUAGGGGCUGUUGUGUGUGUG
Non-coding RNA from Pelobates cultripes (western spadefoot toad), 224 nucleotides. NCBI's taxonomy places the organism in Eukaryota, Metazoa, Chordata, Amphibia, Anura, Pelobatidae. The record is from the annotation of a GenBank genome assembly.